GGGGCCGUAGGGUAGCCUGGACGAUCCUGUAAGGCUGGGGGUCUUGCGACCGGAGUUCAAAUCUCCGCGGCCCCA
This 75-nucleotide transfer RNA is filed under the name Methanosalsum zhilinae DSM 4017. Its description in RNAcentral is "tRNA-Pro (GGG) (tRNA-Pro-GGG-1-1)". It matches the Rfam family "tRNA". From Rfam's summary of the family: Transfer RNA (tRNA) molecules are approximately 80 nucleotides in length. Their secondary structure includes four short double-helical elements and three loops (D, anti-codon, and T loops). Further hydrogen bonds mediate the characteristic L-shaped molecular structure. tRNAs have two regions of fundamental functional importance: the anti-codon, which is responsible for specific mRNA codon recognition, and the 3' end, to which the tRNAs corresponding amino acid is attached (by aminoacyl-tRNA synthetases). tRNAs cope with the degeneracy of the genetic code in two manners: having more than one tRNA (with a specific anti-codon) for a particular amino acid; and 'wobble' base-pairing, i.e. permitting non-standard base-pairing at the 3rd anti-codon position. The record is from RNAcentral. Lineage: Archaea; Methanobacteriati; Methanobacteriota; Methanomicrobia; Methanosarcinales; Methanosarcinaceae.